Molecule: long non-coding RNA, 6605 nt
Organism: Phyllopteryx taeniolatus (common seadragon)
Lineage: Eukaryota; Metazoa; Chordata; Actinopteri; Syngnathiformes; Syngnathidae
Exons: 9
Source: RefSeq, a predicted model, not a curated record
GCUGAUGUCGCAGCAACGGCCAUCAUUCUGCAUAGCAACAAUGACGUCAAUGGACCCUGGACCAACCAGACGAAGACAACUCCACACUUCCUUUUUGAAAAAUUGUAUGAGACUGGGUCCAGGAAGAGAUAGUUUUGUUCGGUCUACACCAUCUCUGCUAAGGCUAAGAUAGGCGUAGCUGCUGAUCCAGAGCUCUGAAGUAUGUAUAGACUCCUCUGUCAGGAAUAAAUUGGUUGGCUUUUAACACGUCGUUAUAAUCGUAGUUCUUUCAGGAAAACGAAUACGCUUGGAACCUCGAGAGUUAAUAGGUGAUUUUAAAAACACAGGUUACUUUAAAUCGUGACCCCCACGUGAUCCUGGAAGGACAUCAGAUAAAAGGACAGGAGUGGACAGGGAUUCAAUUGGAGUGCAAUCUCCCCGGUGCACCGACAGAAAGAGGGUGCCGCAGUGGACGAGAGGGUGUUGGAGCAUGUGACACUGGUGCAAUUCCAUGGCAGAGAGCUCUUGGACAAUGAGGACGCCGAACAGCUGUUGAACUCACUGCCGGACUCACUGUGGUCUGAGGGGCCUGCCGAUGGGGGACUAUGUGCAUCCGUGACGCCGGUCACGUUCUAGCUCCUCUUUCAGGUGGUCGGGUAUUCUUCACCAACGGCUGCUGCUGGAGACAUACCUCGGGACCGCUACAAGCGGGGGGUGCCUUCUUUGAGGCCCUGACCCCAGGAGACACAAAUUCUGACUUCCAAACGCUUUGAUCCACAAAUGACUUUGUGAAACCCUCUGCUCAAGCUGCAGAAUUGCUGGCCAUGUGCAGGGACUGGAGUUAUCUGAGUGUAACUUUUUAUUCUGAUUUGGCCCAUGUUGGAGGAUGCUUGUUUGUUGAUUUGGCUGCAUGGAGACGACAGGGUUUUGUUACGUCCACUGGCGACCCAGUGGCCCACGCAGAGCUGAUUCAACGACUGAGCGAGGCUGUUGAUAAGCCAGUGGAGGUGGCUGUGGUCAAGUGUCCAGGACAUGUGAAAGCGAGCACACUGGUAACCCAGGGGAAUGGUGCAGCUGAUGAGAAAGAAAGCUAAGAAAGCAGCAGGCUAUCAAACGGAUGCUGAAGGUAACUAUGUUGUCAAACAGGAUCAGUUGAUUGACUUACUCCCUGCAGUAACGGUUGAUGUAGUGCGCGACCUCCAAGAGGCGGUGCCAGAGGAAGACAAACGUAAGUGGCAAAAGAAAGGUGCUGAGUAUGACGACAAGAAGAAGCUGUGGUUUGGCCCGGCGAGAGGCCCUAGGAGACUGGUGUUACCGACAGGAAAGUUCAUGCGGUUAGUGGUUGAGGAAGCGCACGCCCCGGCACAUGAGAGUUAUGUGUCGAUGCUGAACAAGCUGUGCUUUUGGUGGCACCCUGAUCUUCUGCGUAAGGUAAAAGAGUUUUAUGUUUCUUGUGAUAUAUGUCAGAAUUUCAGUGUUGGAGAGGAGAGGGAAAUGCAACACACUGAGAUGGGCCAAUGCCCGAAUGAUGUGGUGGUAAUGGACUACACCGACAUGGUAGCCCCAGUCCAAGGAAAAAGGUACCUAUUAAUGAUUGUCGACACUUUUUCUGCAUGGCCCGAAGCCUAUCAUUGUGCAAAAGAGGACGCGCCGUCCAUCAUCAAAGCGCUGGUUAACCAUUAUAUCCCAACACAUGGGUUUCGUCGAGUAAUCAGAUUGGACAAUGGUACCCAUUUUACGGCUAAUUCGUUGGCUACGGACGAAUCCAUGCUGGGGCUCAAACACAAAUUUGGCUCAGUCUAAUAUCCUCAGUCCCAGGCCCAUGUGGAAAGGAUGAAUUGGACGGUCAAACAACGGCUGGCGAAAACGUGUGCACACACAGGGCUUAAUUGGCUGCAUGCCCUGCCCCUUGUUGUGUUCUCCAUCAGGCAAGCAAUUAACCGCAGGAGAAGGUUCACUCCUUACCGGCCGCCUGAUGCCUGGUCCAGCCUCGGCUUCGCUCCAGCCGGACAUGGAACCGCCAAAGGGCUAUAAGCCCUACUGGGAGCAACUGUCAUCUCUUGUGUCCUCGCUUUGUGUUUCAGAUCCCUCUGUUGCAGACGUCCAAGUCAGUCACCCUUCCCUUCCAACUUACGUGUAUUUGAAAGGGCUCCAAGGGAAGUGGUCUGAACCACAGUGGACUGGUCCGUUUGAGGUUACAGUUCGGACAUCUCACGCCCUGCGUCUCUUUGGAAAGGGGGGCAAGUGGUACCACAUGUCACAGACAUGCCCUGCGCAGGCCUCUAUUGUAGAGAGGGAAAAAAAAGAGUGGGCCUCUCGUGCCUGAGUGACUUUCUGCUGUAUUGUGUAUGCUGGACGUUUCUUUUUGCGUGCUGUUAUUCGCCGAGGUCGUUUUUACCUAGUCUACCUAGUUUCAUUUAUUUUCAUUCAUUUUUCAUUUCUUUCAUCUUUGUGUAUGUGUGUAUGGAUAUUGCGUUUUGGUGUUAAAUUGAUCAUUUAACAUUGGGUGAAAAUAUGUACAUCCUGUAUGUCUGGCCGAAGAAGGUCAUAAUCAUGACUCUGGUGAUCUCUUUGAUUAUAGUUACAGGAAUCUAUUUCGGAAUGCCCUCAAACCAAGAAGAACGAGUGGGAAAGCGCCGUGAAGCCAACAGGGGCCCUAGAGUUGAACUACACGCUGGGGGAAAUUCCGGUACACCAAUUUGAUUUGUGUAAGGUGAUAGAUUGUGUAAACUGGGGCGAUCCGGCGGGGUACAACAUUUACUUGUGCGCUUUGAGUAGAGGACAUGGAGCAGCUAACCGGUACCCGGUAAACCAUAAGUUCAGCGCGGACCACCAGGUAGAUUCAUGUUUCAGCUGGGAGCAGGUGAUUAUCCACUCGAAACCGGGAUACUGGGAGCCGAUGAAGGGUAGGAAUUGGCAGUGGAAGGACAGGAUCAAACUUGAAAAAGGUAGUAUGUACCCGGUAACCCCUGGGGACCGACACCCCGUACUGCUUGUAUGACCUUCUAUGAUAUAAAUAGCCCCCCAUUGAAAGAGUGGGGCGAACCAGUGCCAACCUUUACGGUCUUAACCUUGGGUACUGAUGCCUCAGGGGCCGACCCCCUAGGACAGAUUAUUAUUAAUUGGCUACAACCGACAAAAAAAAUCUAAUCCAAUAAUGAGAAAAUUUGCUAAUUUAACAGUAUAAAAAAACGUGGAUCCGGUGGUUUUUCGAACCUCUAACAUGACGGCAUAUGACCUAAAUAAUGACUUGGUCCAGGGAAUGGUAUACCGAUGUAUGCCAGAGGUGGCUAAGGGGCGAUCGUCAGGGAUUAAUACAGGAAAUUUUUGUUUUAAAGAAAUUAUUGUGGAAGGUAGGGACGCAGUCAAAAUCAAUCAAAAAGACUGCCUUGUCUGUGCUACUAUGAAUAACCUCAAUUGGAUUGUUAACUCUGUGAUCCAGGAAAUUUUUACUGCUGCUACUAAGUUCGCGUCGUGAUGACUAAAGACAAUCUGGAGGGUGAGUGCCAGCACUGGCACCACGUGUAUCCUCUAACAAAGGUAAAAGGCGCUCCCCUCUAUGAUGUUGAAAUGGUCCCGUCCCUACCUUGCAUCUCCCAAAAUAAGAGUAAGGUAACUUUUGGCCACAACAACAAACUAUCUCGACCAAUUGGCCACCUGGAUCCACAGUUUUGUAAUGUCACACUUUCAAUUGACUAUUAUAAAGCGGCCCGAUUGAGAAAGACGAGGUCCAAUUUGUGGUGGAUGUGUUGUGAGUUGUCAGUUGUGGGACUUCCUGCCCAGUGGAUGGACAGGCACAUAUGCAUUGAUUUCUAUGAUAACCCCCACGGUGAUCAAGCCUCUCUCUGAGCAAGAAAACAACCACAUUGCGGCUUUCACCUGGGGGCAUGACUGGUGGGGUUGCUUAACCCGCUCCCGCCGUUUGGUCAAUGGCUUCAAUGUGGGUGGAAACGCCUGGGAAGCAGGAGAAGACCCCACCUUCCUUGAUCCCAUCGGAGUUCCCAGAGGUGUCCCGGAUGAUUUCCGCAGGUCUUGAGAGUAUUUUCAUAUGGGUAACCCCGAAUAAAAAUGUUGAUUUUAUUAAUUACCAUCAAUACCAAAUUCAAAGACUGGUGAAUUUCCCCUCCCAAUUGGCACAGGGCGUCCAUGAGCAACUAUCAGCUACCUCUCUCAUGGCAUUCCAGAAUAGGCUGGUCCUCGAUAGUAUGUUAGCGGAAGAAGGGGGUGCCUGCUCUCGAAUCAAGGGUCACUGUUGAAUGAUUAUCCCCAACAAUACGGCACCAAACGGAAAGAUCACCAGAGCCAUGUAAGGUUUGCAAGCCAUGUCUGUUAAAUUUAAAUUAAUGUCCGGAGUGGAUGACGACCCAUUCCAUAGCCUGCUGAACAGGAUGUUUGGUAAAUGGAAAGGUCUCAUGCUGACUUUGGCAACUACCAUCCUGGUUGUCAUUACUGUGCUUGCUUUGUGUGCUUUGUGUGUCCUUUAUCAUUCCUUGUCUCAGGAGUCUUAUCCUCCGGAUUGUCCACAAGGCCUUUGAGGGGAAGGACCCCCACGGCCAUGGUCAGUUGCUGCCCCCGAAAGAGGACGUGGAGACCAAAAGCGCGCUCGCUCCGUUCGACAUGGCCUUGUGAUGGGACGUGGUCGGUUUCCUGGACGAGGGCCUCCCAAUCGAUGAACACGGUGAAAGCUACGGUCAGCAGACAUGGAGAGGUCUUCUUCCCAUUUGGUGAUUGGCUUGUGUGCAUCAUGCUCCACUGCUCGCCGUCGCUUCCAUGUUGAUUACAAGCCAGUGACGUGGAGCGAGGCCUUGCGUUACUGCAAAGCCAAGCAUCACAACCUCGCCACUGUGCAUGACGAGGAGGACGUGAAGACCUUGAUGGACACGGUCAAACUCAACAGGAUGCACAAAGGAGAACAGAAAAAUGGACUACAUUGCAGGAGUUAUGCACCCUCUUGAAGCCAUUUGAGAGGUGACUGUUGAACUCAGUGCAGAAAGCUACGUGACUGCCUCCAAAGCAAUACUGCUGGCCAGGCGACUGCAAAGAGCCACGGCUGAUUUCCAGAGGAGGGUAACAACACAGGCAGCAAAAGACAUGGUCAACUCCGUUUCUUCUGGCAGGUCAGCUAGAUUCCAUAGAAUGAAUCCAACCACAUCCUUGCGGAUGCUGCUGCUUUUGACCCAAGAUUCAAAAGGAUGGCAUUCGGGGCAGAACUGCAGACGAGGCUUUUCAAAGAGUAUCCACUGCAGCAACAAGACUCACAAUUAGCAGCAGCAACCGCAUCCAGCAACCGUUCCAAGAAGAAAGAGCAGGCAGUGCUGCUCCGGAAUCAGUCGUUUAGAGCUAUUAUCAUGAGGAACUAAGCUGGAACAGUGGCAACUCGGAACCCCACAGCAGACAAUGUCAUGGAGGUGCUGGCGUCCCAAGAGGAGCCUCUUGUUCCAAAAAAUGAACAUCCUCUCAAGUGGUUGAAAAGUCAGGUGCCUGUGUACACCAGGCUUAGCAAACUCAUGGCUAAGAAGCUUUGCGUUGUGGCCAAGUCAGUUCCAUCUGAGAGAAUUUUCUCUAAAACUGGACAAAUAAUCACAGAGAGGAAAAGUCGCCUCAAGCCUGCAAAAGUGAAAUCACUUGUCUUCCUUAAUGCACUUGUCUUCCUUAAUUUGCCCAAUGACAAGAAGGAGAGGCCAUAAAACAUGGAACUGCUUUAUUAUUUUUGGGAAUGUCAUUUAUUUUGUUUGUGUCUGUCUUGUUUACGCUUUUUUUUAUUGGAGUUGUGGUUCAGAGUAAAGGGACUGAUCUCCUGUUUUUGUAGGUCAGGUAUAGGCAACUACUCACCCAGGGACAGUUCAGGAGUCCUCCUCAGGCUUUAGCUCUAUUUUAAUUUUUUUACAAAGCAACUAUAUGCACCUCAGGACAGUUCACCAGUCCAUUCUACAGUUUUUAUUAGUAGUACUAGUGGGCUGUGUGCACAUUUUCUUUCUCACAUUUUUUUUUGUUUUAUCUAUUUUUUUUAAUACUUGAAGUAUUGUUUUUGAGUUCCAUCCAACCAUGUUCUGAGCCGCUUAUCCUCACAAGUGUCGCGGGAGUGCCGCAGCCUAUCCCAGCUAUCUUCGGGCAGGAGGCGGGGAACACCCUGAACUGGUUGCCAGCCAAUCGCAGGGCACACAUAAACAAACAACCAUUCGCACACACAUUCACACCUACGGGCAAUUUAGAGUCUUCAAUUAACAUACCAUGCAUGUUUUUGGAAUGUGGGAGGAAACCAGAGUGCCCGGAGAAAAUCCACGCAGACACGGAGAGAACAUGCAAACUCCACCCAGGCGGGGCCGGGAUUUGAACCCCGGUCCUCAGAACUGUGAGGCAGACGCUCUAACCAGUUUGUACACCGUGCCACCUGCUUUUGAGUUUUCUAUCAAAACAUGUUUGUGUGGAACGUUUUUCUCUAAAAUUUGCACUAAAACAAGACAUGGUGUUACUGACUAGCAACUUAGUAUUUUUUUUACAUCACCUUUAAUCUUUAUUAUAAGCCGUUAUUAUAUAAUUUUAAAAUAUUGUUUUGAGCUUUUCUGUAUUGUUAAAAAUGUUCAUGGGUGGAAUUUCUGCACUAAAAGCUUUUGCAUGGAACUUCA